AGGGGGUUGAGAAGGUAAAACAGCUGACACUGUGCUGCUUUCACUGGUUACAUCCCCCAAUAUGAAUACAGUGCCGCUGGAAUGAGUGCUUCAUUAACUACUGAUGGAGCCAUUCUGCUUUGGCAUACACAAU
Molecule: small nucleolar RNA, 133 nt
Organism: Acipenser ruthenus (sterlet)
Lineage: Eukaryota; Metazoa; Chordata; Actinopteri; Acipenseriformes; Acipenseridae
Product: small nucleolar RNA SNORA47
Exons: 1
Source: RefSeq, a predicted model, not a curated record